This 1201-nucleotide ribosomal RNA is filed under the name Lactobacillus sp. N15.MGS-260. RNAcentral describes it as "bacterial LSU rRNA". It matches the Rfam family "Bacterial large subunit ribosomal RNA", at positions 1304 to 2513 of the family's 2925-position model. Lineage: Bacteria; Bacillati; Bacillota; Bacilli; Lactobacillales; Lactobacillaceae. The record is from RNAcentral.
AAGUAACGAUAAAGGGGGCGGGAAACCCCCUCGCCGAAAGACUAAGGUUUCCUGAUCAACGCUAAUCGGAUCAGGGUCAGUCGGGUCCUAAGGCUCAGCCGAACGGCGAUGCCGAUGGCAGAAACGGUUAAUAUUCCGUUACUACCUUCAGGAGUGACGUGGAGACGCAGUAGUGACAGUGCCGCCAUCUGACGGAAUAGAUGGUUGAAGGGUGUAGGAGUCGAUCAUGGCAGGCAAAUCCACCAUGAGAUCCGAACCUGAUAGUAUGCCGCGUCCUUCGGGACAAGGCAAUAGUGCGCGUAAGCAUGCUGCCGAGAAAAUCCGCUAAACUUAAUCCUGUAGGUACCCGUACCGCAAACGGACACACGUAGUCGGGAUGAAUAUUCUAAGGCGCUUGAGUGAUUCACGGUUAAGGAACUAGGCAAACUGACCCUGUAACUUCGGGAUAAAGGGUCCCUACCCUUUUAUGGGAGGGCGCAGAGAAUCGGUCCAGGCAACUGUUUAACAAAAACACAGGGCUGUGCCAAAUCGAAAGAUCCAGUAUACAGCCUGACACCUGCCCGGUGCUGGAAGGUUAAGAGGAGAUGUCAUCGAUAAGAGAAGCGUUGAAUUGAAGCCCCAGUAAACGGCGGCCGUAACUAUAACGGUCCUAAGGUAGCGAAAUUCCUUGUCGGGUAAGUUCCGACCUGCACGAAUGGUGUAAUGAUCUGGACGCUGUCUCAACCGUGAGCUCAGUGAAAUUGUAGUAUCGGUGAAGAUGCCGAUUACCCGCGAUGGGACGAAAAGACCCCGUGAACCUUUACUAUAGCUUAUCAUUGAAUCUGGGCACGUGAUGUGUAGGAUAGGUCGGAGGCUUUGAAGCAGGUACGCCAGUAUUUGUGGAGCCGCUGUUGAAAUACGACCCUUUAUUUGUUUGGAUUCUAACCCGUGGAACGGGGACAUUGAUUGGUGGGUAGUUUGACUGGGGUGGUCGCCUCCAAAAGCGUAACGGAGGCUUCUAAAGGUGCCCUCCGGCCGAUUGGUAACCGGCCUUAGAGUGUAAUGGCAUAAGGGCGCUUGACUGGGAGACUAACAAGUCGAUCAGGUAGGAAACUAGAGCAUAGUGAUCCGGUGUUUCCGUAUGGAAGGGACAUCGCUCAAAGGAUAAAAGGUACUCCGGGGAUAACAGGCUGAUCCCUCCCAAGAGCUCAUAUCGACGGAG